GGCUCAGGACGAACGCUGGCGGCGUGCUUAACACAUGCAAGUCGAACGAUGAAGCCCAGCUUGCUGGGUGGAUUAGUGGCGAACGGGUGAGUAACACGUGGGUGAUCUGCCCUGCACUCUGGGAUAAGCCUGGGAAACUGGGUCUAAUACCGGAUAGGACCUUCGGCCGCAUGGCUGGGGGUGGAAAGUUUUUCGGUGCAGGAUGAGCCCGCGGCCUAUCAGCUUGUUGGUGGGGUAAUGGCCUACCAAGGCGACGACGGGUAGCCGGCCUGAGAGGGCGACCGGCCACACUGGGACUGAGACACGGCCCAGACUCCUACGGGAGGCAGCAGUGGGGAAUAUUGCACAAUGGGCGCAAGCCUGAUGCAGCGACGCCGCGUGAGGGAUGACGGCCUUCGGGUUGUAAACCUCUUUCACCCAUGACGAAGCGCAAGUGACGGUAGUGGGAGAAGAAGCACCGGCCAACUACGUGCCA
Molecule: ribosomal RNA, 475 nt
Filed under: Rhodococcus sp. (in: high G+C Gram-positive bacteria)
Lineage: Bacteria; Bacillati; Actinomycetota; Actinomycetes; Mycobacteriales; Nocardiaceae
Description: bacterial SSU rRNA
Rfam family: Bacterial small subunit ribosomal RNA
Source: RNAcentral